RNAcentral lists this ribosomal RNA (495 nucleotides) under uncultured bacterium. RNAcentral describes it as "bacterial SSU rRNA". It matches the Rfam family "Bacterial small subunit ribosomal RNA", at positions 28 to 526 of the family's 1533-position model. The record is from RNAcentral.
GACGAACGCUGGCGGCGUGCUUAACACAUGCAAGUCGAACGGUGACCCCUUUUCGGAGGGUGAUCAGUGGCGAACGGGUGAGUAACACGUGAGCAACCUGCCCCUGGCUCUGGGACAACCACUGGAAACGGUGGCUAAUACCGGAUACGACCUACCUCGGCAUCGGGUGUGGGUGGAAAGUUUUUCGGCUGGGGAUGGGCUCGCGGCCUAUCAGCUUGUUGGUGGGGUGAUGGCCUACCAAGGCGACGACGGGUAGCCGGCCUGAGAGGGCGACCGGCCACACUGGGACUGAGACACGGCCCAGACUCCUACGGGAGGCAGCAGUGGGGAAUAUUGCACAAUGGGCGCAAGCCUGAUGCAGCGACGCCGCGUGAGGGAUGACGGCCUUCGGGUUGUAAACCUCUUUCAGCUCCGAAGAAGCUGCACUUUUUGGUGUGGUGACGGUAGGAGCAGAAGAAGCACCGGCUAACUACGUGCCAGCAGCCGCCGUAACAC